Molecule: ribosomal RNA, 460 nt
Filed under: uncultured bacterium
Lineage: Bacteria
Description: partial 16S ribosomal RNA
Rfam family: Bacterial small subunit ribosomal RNA
Source: RNAcentral
CCUACGGGUGGCAGCAGUGAGGAAUAUUGGUCAAUGGGCGCGAGCCUGAACCAGCCAAGUAGCGUGAAGGAUGACUGCCCUACGGGUUGAAAACUUUUUUUAUAAAGGAAUAAAGUGAGGCACGUGGGCCUGUUUGUACGUAAUUUAUGAAUAAGGAUCGGGUAACGCCGUGACAGAAGCCGCGGUAAUACGGAGGAUCCGAGCGUUAUCCGGAUUUAUUGGGGUUAAAGGGAGCGUAGAUGGGUUGUUAAGUCAGUUGUGAAAGUUUGCGGCUCAACCGUAAAAUUGCAAUUGAUACUGGCGGCCUUGAGGACAGUUGAGGUAGGCGGAAUGCGUGGUGUAGCGGUGAAAUGCUUAGAUAUCACGAAGAACUCCGAUUGCGAAGGCAGCUUACUAAACUGCCACUGACAUUGAUGCUCGAAAGUGUGGGUAUCAAACAGGAUUAGAUACCCGAGUAGUC